UCAGCUGCCAAAGGACAUCAUCCAUCUCCAACCUCCGUCAGGACCGAGCGUCUCCUGAGAGAUAGAGAGAGCGAGAAAGUUAGUCAUGGAUCAGAAGACAAAUGAGAAUCCCAACUCCACCUCCCCUCAGAAGCACAUGAAGAACAGGUCCAAAUCAACAGAGGAGAUGCAACACUCGAAGAAGGCCUUUUCCUCACAAAAAUCCCUCCCAGGCCGACCAGAGCUGGACAGAGUGAAGGUGAACUUCUAUUUCACAGCAGUAGAAAUGCUGCAAUGUGUCUAUACCCCUGCCUCUCUUCCAGUAGAGUCGUCUGAGAAAGUGUUCGGAUCAUCAUUGCAAUAAUAAUUAUCUGUGCUGGGUCAGAGAUGUAUUUUCCUGUCUGUGUUGCAGGAGUGUCCUGAUGGCUCUGACACGCCCCCGUCCUCCACUGAAGAAGAGAAGUGAUAAAUAAAAGGAUCACUGGGACAAUAGAGCUGCCAUCAAGCAACAACAUCAUCAUACAACAACAUGACACGUACAUUAAAAUGUACAUAUGCAAACAAAGAAACAUAGAAAAUAUUGAGGAUAACAGUGAACUAAAUUAGAAAAUAUACAAGUGGCGAACAGAUGAUUGGUUGAAAGAAACUGUUGAAAAUAAUGGUUACUUGAACGCACGCAUGCACACACACACACGCACGCACGCACGCACGCACGCACACACCCACACACACACCCACACACACACAUACACACACACACACACACACACACACAAUCUGAGACAAUCGCAUGCAAACAAAAGGACACCCAUGAUGAUGCUGUUUCAUUGUACUGUACUCUGAGAGUCAUUAACAUACCAGACUGAACAAGUAUUGACAAUAAAGUGAUUUCUCAUCUAUUCUCAUUCACACCAGUAAUCAAAUUCCUCCUCCGCCUGCAAAUACCAGAUGUAAUGACAAAAAGAAG
RNAcentral lists this long non-coding RNA (946 nucleotides) under Scophthalmus maximus (turbot). Its description in RNAcentral is "lncRNA (ENSSMAG00000026227.1)". Lineage: Eukaryota; Metazoa; Chordata; Actinopteri; Pleuronectiformes; Scophthalmidae. The record is from RNAcentral.